UACAGAGGCCACAAGCGUUAGGCGGAAUCACUGGGCUUAAAGCGUGUGUAGGCGGGCUGUUAAGUACCUUGUGAAAUCCCACGGCUUAACCGUGGAAUUGCUUGGUAUACUGUCGAUCUUGAGUCAUCUAGAGGUAACCGGAACAGAUGGUGGAGCGGUGAAAUGCAUAGAUAUCAUCUGGAACGCCAAUGGUGAAGACAGGUUACUGGGGAUGUACUGACGCUGAGGCACGAAAGCCAGGGGAGCAAACGGG
This 253-nucleotide ribosomal RNA is filed under the name uncultured bacterium. RNAcentral's name for it is "partial 16S ribosomal RNA". It matches the Rfam family "Bacterial small subunit ribosomal RNA", at positions 524 to 776 of the family's 1533-position model. The record is from RNAcentral.